AUUGAACGCUGGCGGCAGGCCUAACACAUGCAAGUCGAGCGGAUGAAGGGAGCUUGCUCCUGGAUUCAGCGGCGGACGGGUGAGUAAUGCCUAAGAAUCUGCGUGGUAGUGGGUGAUAACGGCCGGAAACGGGCGCUAAUACCGCAUACGUGCUUAGGGAGAAAGUGGGGGAUCUUCGGACCUCACGCUAUCAGACGAUCCUAUGUUGGAUUAGCUAGUUGGUGGGGUAAAGGCCUACCCAGGCGACGAUCCGUAACUGGUCUGAGAGGAUGAUCAGUCACAAUGGAACUGAGAACCCGUCCAGACUCCUAAGGGAGGCCGCAGUUGGGAAUAUUGGACCAUUGGCGGCAGCCUUAUCCCGCCCUGCCGCGUGUGUGAAGAAGGUCUUCCGAUUGGUAAGCACUUUUUGUUGGGAGGAAGGGCAGUCAGUUAAUAACUUGCUGGUUUGACGGUACCACCAGAAUAAGCACCGGCUAACUUCGUG
Molecule: ribosomal RNA, 484 nt
Filed under: uncultured bacterium
Lineage: Bacteria
Description: partial 16S ribosomal RNA
Rfam family: Bacterial small subunit ribosomal RNA
Source: RNAcentral